This 880-nucleotide ribosomal RNA is filed under the name uncultured bacterium. Its description in RNAcentral is "bacterial SSU rRNA". It matches the Rfam family "Bacterial small subunit ribosomal RNA", at positions 13 to 916 of the family's 1533-position model. The record is from RNAcentral.
UUGAUCAUGGCUCAGGAUGAACGCUGGCGGCGUGCGUAAUACAUGCAAGUCGAACGAUCGACUUCGGUCGAUAGUGGCGAACGGGUGAGUAACGCGUUGGUGACCUGCCCCGAAGCGAGGGAUAACAGGCCGAAAGGUCUGCUAAUACCGCAUAAGCUAGCCAUAGUUUAGGAAAUGGUUAGGAAAGGAGAAAUCUGCUUUGGGAGGGGCCUGCGUCCCAUCAGCUAGUUGGUAAGGUAACGGCUUACCAAGGCGAUGACGGGUAGGGGACCUGAGAGGGUGACCCCCCACAAUGGAACUGAAACACGGUCCAUACACCUACGGGUGGCAGCAGUAGGGAAUAUUGGUGAAUGGGCGAAAGCCUGAACCAGCAACGCCGCGUGUGCGAUGAAGGCCUUCGGGUUGUAAAGCACUUUUCACUGGGAAGAGGAAGGACGGUACCAGUGGAAUAAGCCUCGGCUAACUACGUGCCAGCAGCCGCGGUAAAACGUAGGAGGCGAGCGUUAUCCGGAUUUACUGGGUGUAAAGCGCGUGCAGGCGGCUCGUUAAGUUGGGUGUGAAAGCUCCUGGCUCAACUGGGAGAGGCCGCUCAAGACUGGCGGGCUAGAGAGUGGUAGAGGAAGGUGGAAUUCCGGGUGUAGUGGUGAAAUGCGUAGAUAUCCGGAGGAACACCAGUGGCGAAAGCGGCCUUCUGGGCCACAUCUGACGCUCAGACGCGAAAGCUAGGGUAGCAAACGGGAUUAGAGACCCCGGUAGUCCUAGCCGUAAACGAUGUGAACUUGGCGCUGGUUGGGUAAAACCGAUCAGUGCCGCAGCCAACGCGAUAAGUUCACCACCUGGGGACUACGGCCGCAAGGUUAAAACUCAAAGGAAUUGACGG